This 520-nucleotide unclassified non-coding RNA is filed under the name uncultured Glomus. RNAcentral describes it as "SSU rRNA". It matches the Rfam family "Eukaryotic small subunit ribosomal RNA", at positions 569 to 1090 of the family's 1831-position model. The record is from RNAcentral. Lineage: Eukaryota; Fungi; Glomeromycota; Glomeromycetes; Glomerales; Glomeraceae.
AGCAGCCGCGGUAAUUCCAGCUCCAAUAGCGUAUAUUAAAGUUGUUGCAGUUAAAAGCUCGUAGUUGAAUUUCGGGAUCAAUAUGUCGGUCGUGCCUUCGGUACGUACUGGUAUCAUUGGUCUCUCCUUUCUGACGAACCAUGAUGUCAUUAAUUUGGUGUUAUGGGGAGUUAGGACUGUUACUUUGAAAAAUUAGAGUGUUUAAAGCAGGCUUUAGCUUGAAUACAUUAGCAUGGAAUAAUGAAAUAGGACGUUCGAACCUAUUUUGUUGGUUUCUAGGAUCAACGUAAUGAUUAAUAGGGAUAGUUGGGGGCAUUAGUAUUCAAUUGUCAGAGGUGAAAUUCUUGGAUUUAUUGAAGACUAACUACUGCGAAAGCAUUUGCCAAGGAUGUUUUCAUUAAUCAAGAACGAAAGUUAGGGAUCGAAGACGAUCAGAUACCGUCGUAGUCUUAACCAUAAACUAUGCCGACUAGGGAUCGGAUGAUGUUUAAUUUUUUAAUGUACUCUAUUCGGCGCCUUU